GGAAAAUUUCUAAGACUGUCAAAACCAAAUACAAACUCUAUGAAGAGAAGUUUUAGUUAUAUGGGGGCUAAGACCUGGAAUCAGCAUCUAAACGAUAAAUUGUAAAUAUUAUAAUUGUAUUCUCUUACUUGUAAAUAUUACACGGCCCUAUGAAAAUCAAUAUCAAUUGAUAGGUUACCGUGUAUAAAUAUAAUUAAAUACAAAUACAAAUACAAAUACAAAUUUAGUAUGACAAAUCC
Molecule: non-coding RNA, 239 nt
Organism: Paramuricea clavata
Lineage: Eukaryota; Metazoa; Cnidaria; Anthozoa; Malacalcyonacea; Plexauridae
Source: the annotation of a GenBank genome assembly